GAUGAACGCUAGCGGCAGGCCUAACACAUGCAAGUCGAGGGGUAGCAGGGUUAAGCUUGCUUAAUUGCUGACGACCGGCGCACGGGUGCGUAACGCGUAUGCAACCUACCUUAUACUGGGGUAUAGCCCGGAGAAAUUCGGAUUAAUCCCCCAUAGUACUAAUGAAUCGCAUGGUUUAUUAGUUAAAGCAUUGCGGUAUAAGAUGGGCAUGCGUCCUAUUAGCUAGAUGGUGAGGUAACGGCUCACCAUGGCUACGAUAGGGAGGGGGCCUGGGAGGGUGGUCCCAUCCUCGGGUGCUUAGACCAGGGCCAGGCGGCUACGGGAUGCAGCAGUGAGAGGUACUGGUUAAUGAGCGCUAGCUUCACCCAGCCAUGCCGCGUGCAGGAAGAAUGCCCUAUGUGUUGUAAACUGCUUUUAUUUGGGAAUAAACCUCUUUACGUGUAGAGAGCAGAAGGUACCAAAUGAAUAAGCACCGGCUAACUCCGUGCCAGCCGCCGCGGUAA
This 503-nucleotide ribosomal RNA is filed under the name uncultured bacterium. RNAcentral's name for it is "partial 16S ribosomal RNA". It matches the Rfam family "Bacterial small subunit ribosomal RNA", at positions 28 to 523 of the family's 1533-position model. The record is from RNAcentral.